UACGGAGGGGACUAGCGUUGUUCGGAAUUACUGGGCGUAAAGCGCACGUAGGCGGAUUUGUAAGUCAGGGGUGAAAUCCCGGGGCUCAACCUCGGAACUGCCUUUGAUACUGCAAAUCUCGAGUCCGGAAGAGGUGAGUGGAAUUCCGAGUGUAGAGGUGAAAUUCGUAGAUAUUCGGAAGAACACCAGUGGCGAAGGCGGCUCACUGGCCCGGUACUGACGCUGAGGUGCGAAAGCGUGGGGAGCAAACAGG
Molecule: ribosomal RNA, 253 nt
Filed under: uncultured bacterium
Lineage: Bacteria
Description: partial 16S ribosomal RNA
Rfam family: Bacterial small subunit ribosomal RNA
Source: RNAcentral